RNAcentral lists this long non-coding RNA (300 nucleotides) under Bos taurus (domestic cattle). RNAcentral's name for it is "long non-coding RNA NONBTAT023218". The record is from RNAcentral. Lineage: Eukaryota; Metazoa; Chordata; Mammalia; Artiodactyla; Bovidae.
AAAAAAAAAAAAAAAAGAAUGGUGUGUUUAGUAUGCUCUCUUUACAUGCAUUCAUUUUGCUGGCUUGUUCAUGAGAAACUCUAAAUCAUAUGAGAAAUGAAUACCAUGGUCUCCAGGAAAGAUGUGUGUAGGAACUAUAAAAACUGGAACAGGAAGAAGGUUUUCAUUCUCUACCUUUAUAUUUAUUCUUAAAAUUGAAGGGAAACUAAAGCAAUUAUAAGUUCUUGGAGACAGUAGGUAUUAGUACUAUCUUAUAGGAAAUGAUUUGUCUUUAGGGGUCCAGAAACAUAAAAAUAUCCA